UCUAUUUGAGAAAAAAAGCAAAGAAAUUAUUUUGGUCUGGAUUAACGAACAAGUCCCAUGAAUCAUUGGAGAUUUUAAAUCAUCGCAAGGUAUUCCCGAGUGUUCCGUUCUAAAGGGCAUGGUUUCACGAUAGUUGGAUUAUAAAUGAGAUUAUAGAAAGCCACGCGAGUCGUUGUCACUGUCGUAAGAUCUGUUGUUCUCAGUGCAAUAAAGGGAGU
Molecule: unclassified non-coding RNA, 218 nt
Filed under: Athalia rosae (coleseed sawfly)
Lineage: Eukaryota; Metazoa; Arthropoda; Insecta; Hymenoptera; Athaliidae
Description: misc RNA ENSAEAG00005007807.1
Source: RNAcentral